This is a non-coding RNA of Myiozetetes cayanensis, 1160 nucleotides long. The record is from the annotation of a RefSeq genome assembly. Lineage: Eukaryota; Metazoa; Chordata; Aves; Passeriformes; Tyrannidae.
AUGCUGACUGUUUUGCUUGCUCUUUUACCUGGUGUUGUGAUCGGAUACAUCUUCAUUGCACAGUGGCCAGAAGAAAUCUUUCAGAGAGUUGGAGACACUGUGAACAUCUCCUGCAACCAGAAAAACAGUGACCUUGCCUAUAUGUUCUGGUACCAGCAGCCUCCAAGAAAUGGUCUGAAGUUAAUAGUUAGUACUACUUCUUUGAGGGAGAAAUUUUAUGAGGACAGUUACACUGAGGCCAAGUUUGAGAUAAGCAGAAAGCAUACUUACACUGUGAUGACAAUCAAGAAUGUGACAUCCAAGGAUUCAGCCACGUAUUUCUGUGCUGCGAGAGAUCAGAAUACCGGUAAUAUGAUUUUUGGCGAUGGCACAAAACUUACAGUAAUAGAGAAGGAUAAGGAAAUCAUACCUCCAUCUGUGGCCAUCUUUUCCCCAUCAAAGCAGGAGAUCCAACAGAAGAACAAGGCCACACUGGUAUGCCUGGCCUCUGGUUUCUACCCUGACCAUCUCACUCUGGUCUGGAUGGUAAAUGAUGUUAAAAGGACAAAAGGAGUGGGGACGGAUGAAUUCUCCACACAGAAUGGGAGUACCUACUCACUGACCAGCCGACUGAGGAUCCCAGCCUGGGAAUGGUUCAACCCUUUGAAUAAUUUUGAGUGUGUUGCCAAAUUUUUUCAGAAUGGAAAAGAGAAAUCCAUACACAAAGUUAUCUCUGGUGAUGCUGGUUGUGCAGUUAGAGAAGACUCGUACUUGCGGUAUGGAAAUUCUGUGAAGCUCACUUACCUCAUUCUCUGUGGCAAAGCCUUGAUCUAUGCAGUUUUGGCGAGCAGUAUGGUGUGGAGAGCCAAGGUAGGUGGCAAGUUGUAUAAAGAAUGAAUGAAGACCCCUCUUCAUCACAUCAGCAGGAACACAAGUUAUACCUCUACCUUUCCAUGGCAAAGGAUCUAUGCUUCUAAGAAUUUCUAAAUAUUUUUGAUGGCUUUUUGUCCCACUUCUGUUCUCCACUUUUUUGUACUCACUAUUGGAUUUUUCCUGUGCUUCUAGAUUGUAUAUUAUCAUAGUGUAUUGUCUCAUAUGUUUAAAACUAGCACCUUUUUAAUGCUCAAAGGCUGAGAACUCAGCUCCUUGAUUUAGGAAUAAAGUUUUAGCUCUUUUUUCCA